This 1803-nucleotide long non-coding RNA is filed under the name Homo sapiens (human). RNAcentral describes it as "HSALNT0153014". Lineage: Eukaryota; Metazoa; Chordata; Mammalia; Primates; Hominidae. The record is from RNAcentral.
CCUUGCUCCCAACACAGGCAGAAAGGUUGGCUGGGAUUGGUGCCCAUCCUCAGGCAUCUUUUGAAGAGAAAGUGCUACCUGCUGCUAUCCUUUCAGUGUUUUCUCAAAGGCAGAGCCUGAAAAAGGUUUUCGCAGGAGGAAACUUCUCUAAACCUCUCUAGCAUCCUGGAGAUUAAAAUAAGUUAUUUUUUUCUCUGCAAAAGAGAUGAGGUGCUCUGAUACCUGAGGGUGGAGUACUGGACCCUUUACAUGAUUAAGAUCCAGAAAAUAUGCUUUUUGCCUACAGCAUUGUAUGUCCCGUGACCAGCCAGUAGUGAUCCAUUAAACAAUGUUACUCAAGGUGGAUUCACUAAGCACCCACUCUGUGCUAGGCCAUACUUCCCAGGCACUGGGGAGCAAAGGUGAGAAAGAUCCAGGACUUACCCUCAAGAAGCUUAUAGUCCAGUGGGAGAGACCAUCACAAGCAAAAAGAAAAAUUAAAUCCAUGCACUCAGGGCUCCAGGAGAACUUUGCUGUGAGUGCACUAGCUGUCCGGGAGCAUCUGGGGUGGCGUCUGCAAGGAAGGGAUGCUUCGGAUGAGUUUUCAAGGAUACACAGGAUUUUAUGAAGUGGCAAAGGCAGGAGUGGGAAGGGAUCUGUGCAUGCAAAGUUCUGGGAAAGAUGUGGAAAAGUUUUGUUUAUUUAAGGAACUAUGAGAACUUUGACGUGACCAGAGGAGCUACCAUGCAGGCAGGGAAGUGCAAAGGAUGAAUCUAGAGCAGAGGUUUUAACCAGGGACAGUUUUGUACCCCAGGGACACUUGUUUGUCACAAAGAGAGGAGCAGCAGUGCUACUAACAUCUAUAGCGCAGAGGCCAGGAAUGCUGCUAAACAUCCUACCAUACUACCGUGUGGACAGCUCCCACAACACCAUGAUCUGGUCCACAACGUCAAUACUGCUGAGACAGAGAAACCCUGAGCAUGGUAGGGUGUUUAGGAGUAUCCCUGGCCUCUCUGCCCACUACAGAGAAGCAGCAGCCACACCACGAAAAAAUGGAGUUCUGUUAGGGGCACUGUGCUUUCUGAGGGUCACACAGAGAAGGCAUCCAGGGGAAGGAAGCCAGGGGAGAGUUGAGCUUUCAGAUUCUGCAAUCUGGAGUCCUCUAUAGCUGUGUUUCAGCUAGCCCUCCCAGCUUUAUUUUCUGUACAUGUUUGAUAAGCCUGCAUCCAGUAUCUGCCUCCAAAUUGUUGACAAAAAUGUUAAAUGCAAAAAUUUCAGGGCAAAUAAUGACUUAGACUCAAAUAAUGCCAUUCAGUUUAUGGGCAUUUUGCAUCCUUCAUCUCAUUUAUAUUCAUUUUACAAAACAGAAAAAUGAAGCUGGGAGAUGUUCUGCAAUCUAGGAAUUAUUUAACUAUAACACGUUCAGCUCCCAUCUCUUCUCCUAGGCUGGUCCCUGAGUGCUCCAAGGACCCAUGCAUCUGACCAUAGGGGAUGCUGGGAGUAUCCUCCAUCCUGGCCUGAAAGAGCUCCCUUUCAGCUUCCUGGAUUCAUAUCUGUACUGUGGGUUCUCUCAACAGGGUGAACAUGAAAAAUAGAAGCCUCCAGUUUCUCCUGAUAGUGUAUAGAUGGGCAGAUCUGGCCUCAAUGGCAGAAGAUACUUGGGGAACUGGAGAAAGUACAGAAGGUGAUGUGAAAUCAAUUGGGUCAUCAAAAGAAGACGGGUGUACCACAAUUUGUUCCUCCACCUGCUGCCCAUGAACAUUUGGAGGGUUUCUAGUUUUUGGCUAUUACAAAUAAAGUUGUCAUGAACAUUUGCAUACAAAU